CUACGUGCCAGCAGCCGCGGUAAUACGUAGGUGGCAAGCGUUGUCCGGAAUUAUUGGGCGUAAAGCGCGCGCAGGCGGAUCAGUUAGUCUGUCUUAAAAGUUCGGGGCUUAACCCCGUGAUGGGAUGGAAACUGCUGAUCUAGAGUAUCGGAGAGGAAAGUGGAAUUCCUAGUGUAGCGGUGAAAUGCGUAGAUAUUAGGAAGAACACCAGUGGCGAAGGCGACUUUCUGGACGAAAACUGACGCUGAGGCGCGAAAGCCAGGGGAGCGAACGGGAUUAGAUACCCCGGUAGUCUUGGCCGUAAACGAUGGGUACUAGGUGUAGGAGGUAUCGACCCCUUCUGUGCCGGAGUUAACGCAAUAAGUACCCCGCCUGGGGAGUACGACCGCAAGGUUGAAACUCAAAGGAAUUGACGGGGGCCCGCACAAGCGGUGGAGUAUGUGGUUUAAUUCGACGCAACGCGAAGAACCUUACCAGGUCUUGACAU
Molecule: ribosomal RNA, 487 nt
Filed under: uncultured bacterium
Lineage: Bacteria
Description: bacterial SSU rRNA
Rfam family: Bacterial small subunit ribosomal RNA
Source: RNAcentral